Molecule: small RNA, 74 nt
Filed under: Xanthomonas codiaei
Lineage: Bacteria; Pseudomonadati; Pseudomonadota; Gammaproteobacteria; Lysobacterales; Lysobacteraceae
Description: sX9 sRNA
Rfam family: Xanthomonas sRNA sX9
Source: RNAcentral
AUGGACCACGCAUACACGCCGGUUCCGAGUGCGCCAUCCGCACCCACACGACCGCUCGCGACGCAUUGUUCGCC